RNAcentral lists this ribosomal RNA (253 nucleotides) under uncultured bacterium. RNAcentral's name for it is "partial 16S ribosomal RNA". It matches the Rfam family "Bacterial small subunit ribosomal RNA", at positions 524 to 776 of the family's 1533-position model. The record is from RNAcentral.
UACAGAGGGGGCAAGCGUUGUUCGGAAUUACUGGGCGUAAAGGGCGCGUAGGCGGCCGCCUAAGUCAGACGUGAAAUCCCUCGGCUUAACCGGGGAACUGCGUCUGAUACUGGAUGGCUUGAGUUUGGGAGAGGGACGCGGAAUUCCAGGUGUAGCGGUGAAAUGCGUAGAUAUCUGGAGGAACACCGGUGGCGAAGGCGGCGUCCUGGACCAAUACUGACACUGAGGAGCGAAAGCCAGGGGAGCAAACGGG